ACAGGAGUAUCUGGAGCGGCAGAGCAAAGAUGAGGUAGACACCCUAGUCGGCACCGAGACGCACGGUGCGACGCCGCUGGUGAUGGCUUGCCGAAACGGACAUUACGCCGUGGCGGAGUACCUCAUCGAAAAAUGCGGCGCCGACAUCGAACAGCCCGGCUCGGUUGUCUUCGACGGGGAGACGAUAGAAGGAGCGCCUCCCCUGUGGUGCGCAGCUGCAGCUGGCCACAUCGCCUUGGUAAAACUGUUGGUGAAGAGCGGCGCCAAGGUAAACUCCACCACCAAGACGAAGUCUACACCUCUCCGAGCGGCCUGUUUCGAUGGUCAUGUUGCAAUCGUCAAGUUUCUGGUGGAGCACGGUGCAGAUAUCGAGGUUGCCAACAGGCAUGGCCACACUUGCUUGAUGAUUGCCUGCUACAGAGGUCACGUUACAAUUGCCAAGUUCCUACUGUCCCUAAAAGCGGAUACCAACAGGAAGUCCAUCAAGGGAAACACGGCCCUUCACGACUGCGCCGAAAGCGGCUCCCUAGAGAUCCUCAAAGCCCUCGUUGAGCAUGGGGCGAGAUUGGACGUGGAUUCCUACGGGAUGACACCACUUCUCACUGCCGCGGCAACAGGUAACACCCAUAUAGUGGAACAUCUCAUAGGAAUGACACAUCUGGUGAGUAGGAAGGAACGAAUAGAUGCGCUAGAACUUCUCGGAGCCACAUAUGUUGACAAGAAGAGGGACAUAAUCGGGGCUCUGGAGUUCUGGAAACGAGCCAUGGAAGAGAGGUACAGAGGAGAAGGCCCUGUGAUGCCGAAACCACCACCACCUCCUGCGAUAGCAGCCUACGAUUACGCCCGCGAGAUUUGCGACUUCGAGGCACUGGAUGAGCUGCUGACCGAUCCUGACGAGAUGCGGAUGCAAGCUCUGGUCAUCCGAGAGAGAAUCCUAGGACCGGCGCAUCCGGAUACUAGCUACUACAUCCGAUAUCGGGGAGCCGUGUACGCGGAUGCCGGCAAGUUCAGCCGAUGCAUUGACCUUUGGAAUCAUGCCCUGGAUAUUCAACAGAGUAUGCUCGAGCGGCUGAAUCCUAUGACGCAGAGCUCUCUGUUCAGCUUCACGGAGCUCUUUAGUUUUAUGAUAGGUGAGGAACACACGCAGUCGAGUAGAGGGCGCCGUGUUCCGUCGCUACAGCGAGAAGAGCUCAUGAAAGUCUUCAAAAAAGCGGUCCUCGAAGUUCGCCUAGGGAAGCAAAUGCUGGACAAGAUGCCACCUUGCGAACGCGACCUCACGUACUUAAACCGAGUUCUGGUGGUGACGUUACACCUGGCUAGUCUUUUAACUCGCGAGACUCCACCUGCAGGCACAAUAGAAUACACAGAGCUGCACAAAGAGAUCUACGAGCUCGUCAAAAUAAACGCACGGGGCCUACACGGCAGAGACGUGCUCCAGUUAUCGGUCAACGCUCACCAAGCUCUAAUGGGAAGAUACCCUGCCUGCAAGUUUCCAUCGGAUCAUCUGACAGCGGCUCUCCUGAGAUCCGGCGCGGACGUGACGAGUGGCGACAUCCACGGGAACACCGCGCUCCAUUUGGCGGCGCAGAGCUCCAAUAAUCUCAGCCUUAUGCAUCUUCUAUUAGAGGCAGGUGCUCACCUGGACGCCGUCAACUACCGGCGGAAGACCUUGAAGCACUUGCUCCAAGCGCGAGAUUACGCUGCCUUAAACCCCGUUAAGUACACCACUUUGGCCUGUCUGGCGGCUCAAGUGGUCAGGAGGACACAGCCCAUCAAAAACGUCCCAAAGCACCUGCGGAGCUUCGUGCGGCUUCACUAGUGCAGAUUUCGGACGUGGCUUUACGUGCAGAUUGUCAUCUUUUAUCCGCGAGCGAUACGGAUAAUACCGUUUCUCACGAAUAACAACCGCUCUCCCAGCCGGCGAAUUACGCAGAAGCAAAAAGCGGACGUCCUCGACUACACGGUGGAUUUUAUCAGAGGCCGGAGAAGCGUUUUCUGUAGGUCGGUCAGAGGAUGUUCGGAUAUCGUCCGGCGUUUGCGACACCAAGGCACAGAGCGGACAUCCUCGGGCUGCGUCGGAGCUAUCAAAGAGAACCCUGACCGUGUCCUCGACGAUUUGCAUCGAGGACUAAGACGAGAAGUACCGUUAUCUUCCCUUAUACAUAAACCCCCUUCGCGUAGGCCAUAUCACAGCGUCUUAACGAAGCUUAGUCGUAGUGCACGAGAUAUUUAAAUUAAGUGUUGUAUUAACUUCCCUGGCCGUGACUUCUCUCCGUGCGACAUAUAGACGAACAAAGGCAAGGUGGUCGAAAGCGAUAUUUUUAGGAUGUACUUGCUUGAUAGGGGAGAGAAGAAAUCGGAUAUUUAGAGGACUCCGAAUUCUUGGUCGAACUUACGUUCGAGAACGGGUCGGGCCGGGGUAUGAUGAAAUAUUAAUUCCCACUCUUUGCAAGGUGAACGUUUCACGUUUUAUAAUGUAAAGAUUGUGAAAAAUACAAAGUGUGAUUUAAAAAAGAC
Molecule: unclassified non-coding RNA, 2517 nt
Filed under: Orussus abietinus
Lineage: Eukaryota; Metazoa; Arthropoda; Insecta; Hymenoptera; Orussidae
Description: protein fem-1 homolog CG6966, transcript variant X1
Source: RNAcentral